AGGUUCGAGGUCGCAGAAAGACUACAGUUCCCAGAAUGCAGCGCGGAAGGCCCCGAUUCCUAUUGGGCGUCCAGGCAGCCUGACUACAACUCCCAGCAUGCUUCAGGAUUCCCCCCCCCCUCCGCCUCAUGUCUCUCUGGGAGACUACAGCUCCCAGCGUGCCGUUUUGUGGAUCUGUCCGCGGAACCUUGACUGUUCGUCCUUGGCGAGCGGAGAAGUGUUCUAUCUUUCCGCGCUGUUUCUGAUGCUGGUAGCGCGAGACGUGAAUCCAAUGGAAUGUGAAGAAGUGAUGACUAAGUUUGCCAAAGCCUUUCUGUUUUUUUUUAUUUAUUUUCUUUCAAGUGUAGGAGUGAGGAAAUGAAGGAAGGAAGGUUACUGUUGUAAGGUAGGGUGUGAGAAACACCCAGUUUUCCUCAAUAUGGAAUUCACAUUUCGUAGGACAAUGGGCUGCUCUGUGCCAUGACUGUGACAGGAAUCGAAUGUUAGAUACAUAGUGAGGAUAUGGAAGAAAUAAAAACAGAUGAGAAGAAAUUUAGGGAAGCAUGCAUAAAGAGGCUCCUCAGUGAAAUUCGUGGAUUGGUGGUAUGUAGUGCAGAAUAUGAAGUCAAGACCAUGACAAAAUUAAAGGAGGACCAAUAUCCUUUUGAGAAUUUGGACUUGGCACUAGAUGCAAUAAGACUGAUUUGCUCUGUUUUGGAAGAAUACACCCGGAAACAUGGCCCUGCCUUUUCUAUGUAUUAAGCAUCCCAUCAAAGGCUGCACAUCUCAGCUCUGUUGUCAGGACAAAUGGUGUUCAUGUGUAAUACCCCGUUCUCAUCCUGAUCUGAGCUGUCAAAAAUCACAAGGCCCAGAACCAGGGACCACAGCUGUACAAAGAGGAAGCCUGCUUUCUAAGGAAACUACAGCUGCAGCUUAGGCACCUGGCCUUCUGGACAUCUGCUUGGAGACAAUCUGAUCCAGAGACUAAGGGGAAGCAUUUCUCUUUAGUUCUGAGACAGAGCAGGACUGUUCCUGCCUCAGCUCAGGGUCAGGCCCAGAAAAUUCUGUCUUAUGUAUCUGUGUAUUUAUUUGCCUGCUUGUUUGUGUGUGUACCACAUGUAUUCAGGUGCUCACAGAGGCCAGAAGAGGACAUGGGAUCCCCUGGAACUGGAGUUGCAAUCUGUUGUGAGCCAGCCCACAUGGGUACUAGGAACUAAAUCCUAGGAACUGAAAACUCUUAGUCACCGAGCAUUCCCUUAGCAGCAGGCCCAGCUUAUGGAGCAAUGGAUCCCACUUGGGAAUUCUCACAGCCAUUGUCACUGACAUGCUGCUUGGCAGCAUAUUAGAGCUGUCAUCCCUUCAUGGGGGUAAUUCUUAUCCCAAACAGUUAGCAGGGAUGCCUGGGGACUAGCCUACACUUCUGCAUGUUCAACUCUUGGUGCAUGGUUGGAAGGUGACAAUGAUGCCUUGUUGGAGAUGACAGUUCUACUUGCCGCAGGCAAUGAGACCAAAUGACAAAGAUGGCAGGCUCACGGUAGCCCAUUUGGCCUGGUAGUUUUAACAAGAGCCUGCCAUCAUCCGAUGGAGAAGAGGGCAGGGUUAGCACUGUCUGUCUCUGGACUGUUUUCCCAGGAGGCCAUUGACUUCUUUACUAAUUCAUGAACAUGGCUCCAGAGUGCAAAGAAGGGGCCCUGUGCUUGACAGCAUGCUCUAUAGUUGGUUCGCAGGCUUUUUACUUCCCUGGCUGCUUCUCACCUUGGUGCUGUCUUCUGGGCCUUUUCAUGGAGUCCCUCUGCCUCUGCCUGCUGUGGCUACUUAUUCUUCAGUCACACAUCUCAUCUAUCUUUGUGUCAUCUUUCCCUUCUCAAUCAAAGCUGCUGUCUCUCCCUUCUGAGCUGCUCGGCAAUUGGGCACUGUGUUGCCUUACAUUGGGAGUAUUUCCCUCUAGGGAGGGCACUGUAUAAUUCUCAUUACCAAGUACACAGACUGAAAGCCAUAAAUAUAAUGGGGUAUAGUAAGCUCUUCUGAAAAAAAACCCACAAAAACAAAUGAGUCCCUCUGCAUGAAUAAAAAUGCAUGAUCAGUGUAGGUGUGCCUAGCAGACUCCUUUGACAAAUGCUAUCCAAUUGCAUUUGUUCCCAUUAAUUUCAAUUUUCCUUUACACAGCUUAUCUUCAGACCUUCAAAGGCUAAUAAUGUUACCCUCUUGCAUACGUUUAUAUAAUUCCUCUUUAGGUGAGAAACUCACAGAAGGCAGAAAUUGUAUCUUCUGCUUCCAAAACAAAGAAUAGCUAUCUUCCCGAUGAAACAUUGCAAUAGGAGAGGUAGAGGGGAGAGGACAGUACGAAGACAAUAUAUAGUUUGCUGGAUAUCCAGUUUUUAGCAUGUGUAUAUGUGUGUGGUGUGCUUGUGUGUGCCCAUCUGUGUGUAGGUGCAUAUGUGUGUAGGUGAGUAUGCAUGUGUUUACUUAUGUGGAGCCCUUAGAUUGUUAUCAGGAGUUGCCUUCAACUGCUCUUCUCCUUAUUCUUGGAGACAGAGUCUCUCUGUUGAACUCAGAACUCACUGACAUUACUAGUCUAUCCAGCUGGCUAGCUCUGGGGAUCCCCUGACUCCACCAUCCAAGUGCUGGAAUUACAGGUGGACUGCCACACCCACCCAGAAUUUACGUGAGUUCUGAAGAUCCAAACUCAAGUCCUAAAGCUUGUGUGGCAAGUGCUUUAUCCACUGACAAAGCACCUUCCGUUCUUGAAGAAAAACAGUUGAUCUCCAAACCAUGUCACCCACCUGUUUGGCUAUUGGACAUGUUUUUGAAAAUUCACUAGGUCGGAAUUGGAUAAGCAUGAGACCCAUGUUCUUUUCCCUAGAAAAAACAAUCCACAUAGGUUAUUGUAGGAUCACGACAACAGGAGACAGACAGGCGUGCAUUUUCAUGUAGAGCAAAUGUGAAGUCCUGCUACAUGUGAACCCUCUGAGAAGUUGGAGAGGCCUGGAUGGUGGCUACUUCCCUGAAGACAGCUCUUCACUAUGGUGAUGUCCAUGGCAGCUCCAGUACUCCACCCCACCCGACCCCUCCCUGCUCCUUUGGAUCUCAGGCAUUGACCAGAUGGUUGGCACAGCGGGAAACAGUAGUGAGCAUGAUCAGCAUUUUAGAUACUUCUCACCCCCUCUACAAAUAUCCUCAGUGCCUGGAUACUGAGGUUCUGCCCCUGAUGCCUUGACCUGCUUCCUCCUCAGCACGCUCUUCCUUUUGUUCUAUGGAGUUCCCACCCCACUGGCAAUACCUUUGAAACGAUGAAGAGCCAGUCACCUCCUAAUCUCAUUAAGGUGCAUAACUGAUUUGAUUUGAACUCAAAAAAAGGUCAGAUAGAAUGCCUUUCUUAGUUACCAUGUGUACACAGAUCAUUUUGUGUUUGGGCAAAACAGAGGUUUCAAGAACAACAGAAACAGAACAUUUGAAAGCUUAAUUCAGAUGCUACUUCCUGAUAAGAUUUUACUUUUUGGGAGGGGAUCAUGAGGGAAAAGAAAGUAUCUUAGAUAAUUUUAUGUGUGGUCUACAAUAUAAUUCUCAGUAAAUAUCCAUAAAAGCCAAAAUAUUGAAAGGAA
Molecule: long non-coding RNA, 3581 nt
Organism: Mesocricetus auratus (golden hamster)
Lineage: Eukaryota; Metazoa; Chordata; Mammalia; Rodentia; Cricetidae
Exons: 4
Source: RefSeq, a predicted model, not a curated record